This 305-nucleotide ribosomal RNA is filed under the name uncultured bacterium. RNAcentral's name for it is "bacterial SSU rRNA". It matches the Rfam family "Bacterial small subunit ribosomal RNA", at positions 337 to 659 of the family's 1533-position model. The record is from RNAcentral.
CCCUACGGGGGGCAGCAGUGGGGAAUAUUGCACAAUGGGGGAAACCCUGAUGCAGCGACGCCGCGUGAGCGAUGAAGUAUCUCGGUAUGUAAAGCUCUAUCAGCAGGGAAGAAAGUGACAGUACCUGACUAAGAAGCCCCGGCUAACUACGUGCCAGCAGCCGCGGUAAUACGUAGGGGGCAAGCGUUAUCCGGAUUUACUGGGUGUAAAGGGAGCGUAGACGGUAUGGCAAGUCUGAAGUGAAAGCCCCGGGCUCAACCUGGGAAUUGCUUUGGAAACUGUUAAACUAGAGUGCUGGAGAGGCA